AAGAAACGACCGUGUGCGAAGAAAGAUUCUUAAGUGGAAGUGAGCUUGGAUUUUGCAUCCAAACUCGCUUGCUUAGUUUGUGCGAAGUUUGGUUUUGUGCGAAGAAACACCCGUUUGUGCGAAGAAAGAUUCUUAAGUGGAAGUGAGGUUGGAUUUUGCAUCCAAAACAAUCCAAACAAUUUUCAACAGCAACGUCCUGGGUUGCAAUUGAUGACUAGUGCGACUUAGUACGAAAAAAGGAAUAUGGAAAAAAGAACACGGCCCAUCAUUCGAGAACCUGGUGUUCGAAUUAAUAAGAGCGGGCCUUCUGAUUCUCUGAACGCAAAAAAAUCUGAUUACGUGAGUUACGUGUUUUUUAUUUCAAUUUUCGCUACAGUUGGAAUACCUCUUGAAAUAUCAUAACAAUGAGCUGUAUUCUGUUCUGCAAUAAUGAAUUAUAAUAUAGAAAAAAAAUAUUUUCGAUUUGAGGGAUGUACGAAAUAAUAAGAGCAAAACAUAAAUGUUUCAAAGACAUCCACAAAAAUAAAGGAAAACGAUGAAUUCCUUCCAUAAUAUUGAUUGUAAACAUCAGUACUUUGUAGUGUACCCCCUGUUUUGAAUUACAGCAGCACAUCUACGUGGCAUAAAGUCAACCAAUGCUCGCCAUUUUGAUUCGGGGAUAUUUUCCCAGACUUGGCGAACUGUGGUCCACAAUUCUUGCGCAUUUGAUGGUUUGGGAAUCAUAAAUGUCGCACCAUAAGUUUUCGAUUGGAUUGAGGUCGUGAGAUUGUGCCGACCAAUCCAAGACUUCAAUAUGUUUCUCAGUAAACCGUGCCUUGGCGUGCCUGCUUGUGUGUUUUGGAUCGUUAUCCUGCUGGAAGAUCCAUUUAAGCGGCAUAUCUUCUUAUUAAUUCGAACACCAUAUUAUAUUAAAUAUGAAGUUGAAUUUUAUAUCUAACAACCUUUUCAUCUUUUUUACCUUUAGCGAAACUCCCGGAGAGAAUGCUCAAAGCAUUGAAGAAUAUAAAGGGGAUAAAAUGGGCACGGGCAACUAUCACCACCUUAGUGUGAAGGAUAGCCUUGCCAAAGUAUUGCAGCAGUUAUCAAUCACAGUCUGCAAUAUUGACCUUUGGGCUGAUGGAGCGCCCAUAAAGGUCGUAAGCUAUGCCGAAUAUAAAUUAUGGUUCGUGGCAUACGAUGUCACCGAACUAAAAGAGUUCCUUCACCCCUUUCUCGCGGGUGCCUAUUUCGGUUUAGAUGCUCCACCGCCAAGCCUUCUUCAACCGGCGGUGAACGAGCUGAACGAAAUGAGGAACUUUGUGCUCAAUGGCAAAACCAGAAGUGUUACCCUACGCAUUUUUGGUGGUGAUUUAGAGGCCCAAUAUAGAAUGGCCGACACGGUGCCAUGGGGUGCCGAUCAAAUUUGCCGUUUUUGCCAUAUUGUUAGGGCAAAUAUUAAUUUCUUCAAAAAUCCCCUGCCCAGCCCACGGCUCGAUGAACCUUUCCGAGCUGGGUGUUACAGAGGGCAUUAUCUCGGUGGAAAACCCUAUUCCGAGUCUGCAUUACUGCAGUAUCAGUUAAUCAUAUAUAUUAAUUAAGUUAAUCAUAUAUUAAUCAUCAUAUUAAUUGGCGAUAUGCGUCACAUUAUUAACUAUGGAGUAUUUAAAUCAUUACUCAUUAUUUUUAUGGAAAGCGGACAUUUGGAUCCGCUUAAAUUUAACGAGGUUUGCGCAGGGAUCGAAAUACCCUAUUCUAUGGGGUUCGAUGAGCUGCCACCGCUAUCAAGCAAUCUUAAAGACGAUAUAUGGUGGUGCCCUGAAAUGUUGGGCUUCGUAUUUUAUUACGCUGGCCCAGCAAUAUUUAAAAUUAUACUAGAGCCAUUAUUUUAUAAAAUGUACCUGUGCCUGCAUACUGCAAUUGUAUUCUAUUGCACCAAAGGCCAGAACAUUAAAAUGGCGCAUAGACUCAUUCAACAAUUUUUGAAUGAGUUGACUGACGAAUGUCCCGAGCAUGCACAAUAUAGUUCAAUUAAAUUCCAUAUAUUGCUGCACCUCGAGGAGGAAGUACAGAGACACGGACUGUACCAAUUCAAUAGUACUGACCGUGUCGAGUGCUUUAUAGAGGCCAUUCGAAAUAAAAUAUUAUUAAAUGGUGCUGGAAAUCCUUUGAAAUAUCUAAAGGAAAGAAGCCCAUUUACAUGGACUACCCUAAACUGGAAAAUCUGGAUAUGGAUGGCCGGUUCCAGGUGGUACGGUUUACGAUGAGAUGUAAACUCGUUGCGCAAAGCACCACAGACUGUUGGUUGCUAACAACCAAACAACAGGUUGUGCGCAUGGAAUAUGCCACCGAAAGCCGCCAUGUUCAUGGCAAAGAAGUGAAAGUUAAAUUAGAGAUCUUUAUGCCCGGCAAGAAGUUCAACAAAACGGAAUUCCAUACAGUCGGAUAUUGGUCGGUCGGCAACAUGGACGAUGCAACACAAAUAAGUGUACCGUUCGAUCUUGCAAGCUAGUGCGAGUCGUUGUUAAUCUACAAAGCUAUUUCAAACCAAUUUACGACUCCUAUGUCCCAGACCAAACAUAGGCUAUACCGGGAGUGAUAUCUAGCUCUCUUGCUCUGGUCAAAACGGAGAGACCUCUUCGUCUUCCUCGCUCAACUUAUUGUGGCUUGUUUUGGCACUCUUAGUGAGGCGCUGAGAUUAGAGCUUGGUUUAGCUCGGCCGUUGAGUUUAAUGGAAAGAUGGAGCCGCGUUAACAAAGCGCAUAGUCAUCUUAUUGUGGCUUGUUUUGGCACUCUUAGUGAGGUGCUGAGAUUAGAGCUUGGUUUAGCUCGGCCGU
Long non-coding RNA from Anopheles darlingi, 2813 nucleotides. RefSeq lists it as uncharacterized. Lineage: Eukaryota; Metazoa; Arthropoda; Insecta; Diptera; Culicidae. The record is from RefSeq and is a predicted model, not a curated record. The transcript is spliced from 3 exons.